UACGUAGGGGGCAAGCGUUAUCCGGAUUUACUGGGUGUAAAGGGAGCGUAGACGGCAUCACAAGUCAGAAGUGAAAAUCCGGGGCUCAACCCCGGAACUGCUUUUGAAACUGUGGAGCUGGAGUGCAGGAGAGGUAAGCGGAAUUCCUAGUGUAGCGGUGAAAUGCGUAGAUAUUAGGAGGAACACCAGUGGCGAAGGCGGCUUACUGGACUGUAACUGACGUUGAGGCUCGAAAGCGUGGGGAGCAAACAGG
Molecule: ribosomal RNA, 253 nt
Filed under: Eshraghiella crossota
Lineage: Bacteria; Bacillati; Bacillota; Clostridia; Lachnospirales; Lachnospiraceae
Also listed under: 1 other name
Description: Butyrivibrio crossotus partial 16S ribosomal RNA
Rfam family: Bacterial small subunit ribosomal RNA
Source: RNAcentral